ACAGAGGGUGCAAACGUUGCUCGGAAUUACUGGGCGUAAAGCGCGUGUAGGUGGAUUGGUGUGUCAGAUGUGAAAGCCCUGGGCUCAACCCAGGAACUGCACCUGAAACUACCAGUCUUGAGUGGUGGAGAGGGAAGUGGAAUUCCUGGUGUAGAGGUGAAAUUCGUAGAUAUCAGGAGGAACACCAGUGGCGAAGGCGGCUUCCUGGACACUAACUGACGCUGAGACGCGAAAGCGUGGGGAGCAAACAGGA
This 253-nucleotide ribosomal RNA is filed under the name uncultured prokaryote. Its description in RNAcentral is "partial 16S ribosomal RNA". It matches the Rfam family "Bacterial small subunit ribosomal RNA", at positions 525 to 777 of the family's 1533-position model. The record is from RNAcentral.